UAUCGUCUUUUGCCAUGUUUAUGC
Molecule: non-coding RNA, 24 nt
Filed under: Arabidopsis thaliana (thale cress)
Lineage: Eukaryota; Viridiplantae; Streptophyta; Magnoliopsida; Brassicales; Brassicaceae
Source: RNAcentral